UUGGAUGGAAACCAAGCGCAGAGUGCAAAGGCAAAAGGGUGUUUGACUGCGAGACCUACAAGUCGAGCAGGGACGAAAGUCGGGCUUAGUGAUCCGGCGGUGCUGAAUGGAAAGGCCGUCGCUCAACGGAUAAAAGCUACCCUGGGGAUAACAGGCUGAUCUCCCCCAAGAGUUCACAUCGACGGGGAGGUUUGGCACCUCGAUGUCGGCUCAUCGCAUCCUGGAGCUGAAGUCGGUUCCAAGGGUUGGGCUGUUCGCCCAUUAAAGCGGUACGCGAGCUGGGUUCAGAACGUCGUGAGACAGUUCGGUCCCUAUCUGUCGUGGGCGCAGGAAAUUUGAGAAGAGCUGUCCUCAGUACGAGAGGACCGGGAUGGACGCAUCAAUGGUGGACCAGUUGUCACGCCAGUGGCAUAGCUGGGUAGCUAAAUGCGGAAGGGAUAAACGCUGAAGGCAUCUAAGUGUGAAACCCACUUCAAGAUGAGAUUUCCCAUUGCGCAAGCAAGUAAGACCCCUUAAAGACGAUAAGGUAGAUAGGUCAGGAGUGUAAGCAUGGUGACAUGUUAAGCGGACUGAUACUAAUAGGUCGAGGGCUUGACCGAAA
This 601-nucleotide ribosomal RNA is filed under the name Coprobacillus sp. AF29-3BH. RNAcentral's name for it is "partial 23S ribosomal RNA". It matches the Rfam family "Bacterial large subunit ribosomal RNA", at positions 2327 to 2925 of the family's 2925-position model. The record is from RNAcentral. Lineage: Bacteria; Bacillati; Bacillota; Erysipelotrichia; Erysipelotrichales; Coprobacillaceae.